This 72-nucleotide transfer RNA is filed under the name Rattus norvegicus (Norway rat). It matches the Rfam family "tRNA". From Rfam's summary of the family: Transfer RNA (tRNA) molecules are approximately 80 nucleotides in length. Their secondary structure includes four short double-helical elements and three loops (D, anti-codon, and T loops). Further hydrogen bonds mediate the characteristic L-shaped molecular structure. tRNAs have two regions of fundamental functional importance: the anti-codon, which is responsible for specific mRNA codon recognition, and the 3' end, to which the tRNAs corresponding amino acid is attached (by aminoacyl-tRNA synthetases). tRNAs cope with the degeneracy of the genetic code in two manners: having more than one tRNA (with a specific anti-codon) for a particular amino acid; and 'wobble' base-pairing, i.e. permitting non-standard base-pairing at the 3rd anti-codon position. The record is from Rfam by way of RNAcentral. Lineage: Eukaryota; Metazoa; Chordata; Mammalia; Rodentia; Muridae.
GCCGGAUAGUUUAGUCAGUAGAGCGUCAGACUUUUAACCUGAGGGUCCAGGGUUCAAGUCCCUGUUCAGGCA